UGGGGAAUAUUGCACAAUGGAGGGAACUCUGAUGCAGCGACGCCGCGUGAACGAAGAAGGCUUUCGAGUCGUAAAGUUCUUUUAUAUGGGAAGAUAAUGACGGUACCAUAAGAAAAAGCCCCGGCUAACUACGUGCCAGCAGCCGCGGUAAUACGUAGGGGGCUAGCGUUGUCCGGAAUCACUGGGCGUAAAGGGUGCGUAGGUGGUCCUUCAAGUCGGUGGUUAAAGGCUACGGCUCAACCGUAGUAAGCCGCCGAAACUGGAGGACUUGAGUGCAGGAGAGGAAAGUGGAAUUCCCAGUGUAGCGGUGAAAUGCGUAGAUAUUGGGAGGAACACCAGUAGCGAAGGCGGCUUUCUGGACUGCAACUGACACUGAGGAACGAAAGCGUGGGUAGCAAACAGG
This 403-nucleotide ribosomal RNA is filed under the name Verrucomicrobiota bacterium. RNAcentral describes it as "Verrucomicrobia bacterium partial 16S ribosomal RNA". It matches the Rfam family "Bacterial small subunit ribosomal RNA", at positions 355 to 776 of the family's 1533-position model. The record is from RNAcentral. Lineage: Bacteria; Pseudomonadati; Verrucomicrobiota.